CCCUCAUUCGAAGCAACAUAUCAAAUUAACAGUUAAAAAACACAUAUAUCGUAUCCUAAACCUACAGGGGCCCUUUUGUGCCAAGGUUAGGCAUAGCGCAUUCGAAAAAGCAAUAAUUUAAGAACACAAUAAUGAAAGCAAGUAAGUAGUUAUUUACAAAUAGCAAAAUAAGUUUAAUUUUAAGGUUAGAAUCCUUCAAAUCCCCAUCAUAGUUGCCAUUCUGUUUUAGUCAGAAAGGAAAAUAUAUUAUUUCUUAGAGAGUUGAUUUAGAGUCACCACUUAAUUUGUAAGAAAAAUCAACAACAUUUAGUUUUAAAUAGAUUAAAUAGGGAAUUUUAUGAAAACCUAAAAAGAGGGUUCGAGAUUCUUAUUUAUAUUUUAGGAAGGUUUUUACGGAACCUAAAAAAUACUCACUAACUCACGAUUAUCCAAUAACUAAUUUGUUUGGCUAAAAUGUCUAACUAAAAUUUUGAGAGAAGAAUUAUUUAGAGUUGUUUGGAACUGAUGUAUGAAUUUUACUAUCUAAUUGAAUUUUAAUUUGUAAAAUUUAGUUUAAGUUAUUUACUUGAUUUGAUUAAGUCAUUAAAACAAAGUGGCGUCUUGCGGGAUUUUGAAUUUUUAACCCUAAAACUAACGAUAAUUGAUAAUAGAUAAAUAAACAUCAAAAUAAGAGAGAGAGAGAGAGAGAGAGAGAGAGAGAGAGAGAGAGAGAGAGAGAGAAAAGAGAGGAUAGAGUCGGAUCCAAAUCCGGCUUCUGUUCGCCUGGACCGGUAUUUGGACCCAUUUGUUUUUGGGCCUUAAGCCCAUUCAAUUUUGUACUUGUCCUAAAUUCUAGAAAAAUAAUAAUACAAUGAUGACAAUAACUUAGGCCUAAACCAACCAAAUACAAUAAAAAUAAAUUUUUAAAAAAAGAUAAACAAAUAAAGUGGGCCUCUUGGCCCAACUUCUUGAACUCUUCCACUUUGGAUUUUUCCACUUUGAGACCUGUACAUCGAUUUUCAUAUCUAGUCGAUUCGAUAAAUGGAAUUUGAGACUUUAUGGCUCUCUCUAAAUGCAAAGAAAGAUGAUAGGAGUUCAAUUGGACUCAAACGGUUUCACAUGCAACGAAAGAAUAAGAAAACAUUAGUGUCCAAAUAAUAUAGGUAUGAACCUACCAAAGCAAUGUAAUACACUAGCGCAUAGAUUAUGAUUUAAUUUAGUGACUUAAGGAUUAAUUAUUAAAACACAUGAGAUAGUGAAGGAACGAACAUACAAUAAAGUUAACAUCAUUUGAUAUAUAAUCUUACAGUGAAAAAUAAGGCUCAAUUGAUACAACUUAGAAGGGCAGGGAUGAUUUUAAAACAUAACUAUUGGUGACAAAGCUUCAAAAAAUCCAAAUUAUUUUAGGCAUUACGACAAUCUCAAAAAAUAAAAUGGCAAUCUGAAUCCAUAAUAUUAACUUAUCAUCUUUUAAUUUAAUUGAACUGGGAAAGUGAUCUAUAGUAAAUAGUAGGAAAACAAUAUGAAACAAAAAAAACAUGUAGCUUAGACUAAUGCACAUUUGAUAUUAAACAAUGGCUUCUAACUGUAACAACAUAAGCUAAAUUCAAGACCUUCUAGGAAAUUGAAUGUAUAUUAUUUAUAUUUUUUUAAAAAAAAUACAAGAAAGCAUGCUAAUUGAGAUAAGAAACAGCAAAGAUAAACUUAACGGCUUAUUAUGAGCAAGACUCGACAGGAUAAGAGAGAUAUGAACAAAAUAAUCAAAGACUUUGAAUUUGAACCAAUAUAAGCAAAUGAUAACAUACCGCAUCAACAAGGAGAUAGCAUUUAACUAAGCUUGAAUACAUAAACGACGAAACUAUACUAACAGCAACAUGUAACACUCCAAUUAACCAAGUUUCAAUAUGUAAAUAUUACCUUAAAGUAUAAGAGAUUUAAAGAGGGGGGCGGAGGGAAAGUAACAUUGACUAAAAAAGCAAAAGGCAAACCCCCUGCAUAUCUACACUUUACGAGCAAGAGAAAGACACGAUGUCACACUAGAUUGAGGAAAUUAGCUAAAACAUUCAGAUUAUAUAACAUCACAUGAAUAACCCGAUUAAGCUAAUAUUAGAGCAGCGAAACCACUGCUAGUACAUCUGAAAAUAGUGAAAAAGAUAAUAAUAAAUAAAUAAAAAACAAACGAGACGGGACCAAAUAUAUGAAGGAUAGAAUUAUUGCACAAGAAUACCCAAUCUAAAAGGAAACAAUAAAUCGAAAUACACUAAUUAACUAGUAAUCUUUCGACAACCUAACUCGAGGGAAGGGAGUAAGAAAGCCCCCAAAAUAAUCACAAAGAACAAUGAAGUCAAGCUAAAUUCAAGAUAAGAUAAAUUCAAGACCUUCUAGGAAAUUGAAUGUAUAUUAUUUAUAUUUUUUAAAAAAAAUACAAGAAAGCAUGCUAAUUGAGAUAAGAAACUGCAAAGAUAAACUUAACAGCUUAUUAUGAGCAAGACUCGACAGGAUAAGAGAGAGAUGAACAAAAUAAUCAAAGACUUUGAAUUUGAACCAAUAUAAGCAAAUGAUAACAUACCGCAUCAACAAGGAGAUAGCAUUUAACUAAGCUUGAAUACAUAAACGACGAAACUAUACUAACAGCAACAUGUAACACUCCAAUUAACCAAGUUUCAAUAUGUAAAUAUUACCUUAAAGUAUAAGAGAUUUAAAGAGGGGGGGGGAAGUAACAUUGACUAAAAAAGCAAAAGGCAAACCCCCUGCAUAUCUACACUUUACGAGCAAGAGAAAGACACGAUGUCACACUAGACUGAGGAGAAAUUGGCUAAAACAUUCAGAUUAUAUAACAUCACAUGAACAACCUGAUUAAGAUAAUAUUAGAGCAGCGAAACCACUGCUAGUACAUCUGAAAAUAGUGAAAAAGAUAAUUAAUAAAUAAAUAAAAAACAAACGAGACGGGACCAAAUAUAUGAAGGUAGAAUUAUUGCACAAGAACACCCAACAAUAAAUCGAAAUACACUAAUUAACAAGUAAUCUUUCGACAACCUAACUCGAGGGAAGGGAGUAAGAAAGCCCCCAAAAUAAUCACAAAGAACAAUGAAGUCAAGCCAAAGAUAAGUCACAACAUCACAAAACAUUAGAGAUAUAUGCAAGUAACAAGGGGUAUCAACAUGGUAGUUGCAUUGAAGAACGAAAUCUAAGACUUAUACGGACGACAACAUGUAGAGCUCAUAUUUUUUAUAUCAGAUGAAUAUGGAGAUGAUUCUAACUCAAAUGCUACGCUACUGUAUAAACAAAGAGGAAGAAGAACCAGCAGACAACUUCAGCUCACCAAAAAAAAUCUCAACUAAAGAGUUGGAGUUGAAAGAAGUUUACCUUUCCGGAGGCAACGAACGGAGACCACAAACAAGCAAUGAUUUCACCAAAGAAACUCAAGAACGAACCACAACCUAGAAUUCCAAGUAGAAUAUCACCUUCAAACAGCUAACUCUUUUAUCUUUUUGUUUUGUGAUAAAGUAUUUGCAGUAUGUAUUUCUAACUACUUUUUUAAAAUUAUUUUCCGUUCAAUCGCUCAAAAUUCCCACUCAAAGAAAAUUCUUCUCUCUAUCAGUUCAUGUUUUCAGCCUCAAAAUAAAAGAAAAUUUCCUCUCACAAUAAAGAAGAAAAGGAGUUUAUAAAUGAGGAAAUUAGGGUUUAAUUUUUGGGGGAAAAGGGAAGAAAACCCGGGUACAAGGUCCAUCUUCUUGAAUUCAAACUUGAAUUCUUUCUCCAUUUAGGCCAACACCUUUUCUCUAAAGCCUAAACCCAUUCCCAAAGAAGAAAGGAGAAUGGACGGAUUGGAUGUGUCUCUCGUCCUUGAAGCUCGACGUGGCGCUCAUCUAUGUGAGUCAAGGACGAGGUCGUAGGUGCCAUUGUAGAGAAAUGAAAGCUUUAAUUGAAGAAAGCUGAAGGAAAUUGUACCUAGAAAGAAGGCGCAUAGCGAGUUGCUCUUUGUCUUAUUUUGACAUGUGAAGGAAGAAGGAAUCACGUAAAGGGUCGUCUGGUAUGCGCAGCUGCUGUUCACGUCUUCUAGGAAUAAUUAAG
RNAcentral lists this long non-coding RNA (4053 nucleotides) under Solanum lycopersicum (tomato). Its description in RNAcentral is "long non-coding RNA (SLYC_LNC001292)". The record is from RNAcentral. Lineage: Eukaryota; Viridiplantae; Streptophyta; Magnoliopsida; Solanales; Solanaceae.